GAAUGUAGCUCAGUGGUAGAUUGUCCGCCUCCCACGCGUGAGGCCCUGGGUUCUAUCCUCAGCACCA
This 67-nucleotide transfer RNA is filed under the name Marmota monax (woodchuck). RNAcentral describes it as "tRNA.Gly". The record is from RNAcentral. Lineage: Eukaryota; Metazoa; Chordata; Mammalia; Rodentia; Sciuridae.